RNAcentral lists this ribosomal RNA (467 nucleotides) under uncultured bacterium. RNAcentral describes it as "partial 16S ribosomal RNA". It matches the Rfam family "Bacterial small subunit ribosomal RNA", at positions 29 to 507 of the family's 1533-position model. The record is from RNAcentral.
AGUGAACGCUGGCGGUAGGCCUAACACAUGCAAGUCGAACGGCAGCACAGUAAGAGCUUGCUCUUACGGGUGUCGAGUGGCGGACGGGUGAGGAAUACAUCGGAAUCUACUUUUUCGUGGGGGAUAACGUAGGGUAACUUACGCUAAUACCGCAUACGACCUACGGGUGAAAGCAGGGGAUCUUAGGACCUUGCGCGAUUGGAUGAGCCGAUGUUGGAUUAGCUAGUUGGCGGGGUAAAGGCCUACCAAGGCGACGAUCCGUAGCUGGUUUGAGAGGAUGAUCAGCCACACUGGGACUGAGACACGGCCCAGAUGCCUACGGGAGGAAGCAGUGGGGAAUCUUAGACAAUGGGGGCAACCCUGAUCUAGCCAUGCCGCGUGAGUGAUGAAGGCCUUAGGGUUGUAAAGCUCUUUCAGCUGGGAAGAUAAUGACGGUAGCAGAAGAAGAAGCCACGGCUAACUCCGUG